RNAcentral lists this ribosomal RNA (443 nucleotides) under uncultured bacterium. RNAcentral describes it as "partial 16S ribosomal RNA". It matches the Rfam family "Bacterial small subunit ribosomal RNA", at positions 338 to 795 of the family's 1533-position model. The record is from RNAcentral.
CCUACGGGAGACAGCAGUGGGGAAUAUUGCACAAUGGGCGAAAGCCUGAUGCAGCAACGCCGCGUGAAGGAAGAAGGGUUUCGGCGCGUAAACUUUUUUCAACAGGGACAAAAGAAGUAACGGUACUGGUAUAAUAAGCCCCGCCUAACUACGAGCCAGCAGCCGCGGGAAUACGGAGGGGGCAAGCGUUAUCCGGAAUUACUGGGUGUAAAGGGUGAGUAGGCGGCAUGGUAAGCCAGAUGUGAAAGCCUUGGGCUUAACCCGAGGAUUGCAUUUGGAACUAUCAAGCUAGAGUACAGGAGAGGAAAGCGGAAUUCCUAGUGUAGCGGUGAAAUGCGUAGAUAUUAGGAAGAACACCAGUGGCGAAGGCGGCUUUCUGGACUGAAACUGACGCUGAGGCACGAAAGCGUGGGGAGCGAACAGGAUUAGAUACCCGAGUAGUC